RNAcentral lists this long non-coding RNA (523 nucleotides) under Macaca nemestrina (pig-tailed macaque). RNAcentral describes it as "lncRNA (ENSMNEG00000046169.1)". The record is from RNAcentral. Lineage: Eukaryota; Metazoa; Chordata; Mammalia; Primates; Cercopithecidae.
GCUGAUGAUGACAUUGGACAUGAUUGAUUAAUGCACGCCUUAAUUCCUAGGAGGUCAGAGCUGUUAUUAUCCCCACUCUACAGUGGAGGCUGAGGCAAAGUGGGUUAUGAAACUUGCCCAAAGCCUUGGAGCUGGUAACUGGCAGAGCUGGAAUUUGAACUUGAAUAGUUUGACUCCACCUCCCCAGAAGGCUGCAGAAUUCCCGAAAGGCAUCCUGAGGCCUCCCCUCCGCACUUCGUGCCACUCUGCUGAAGCCGACUCCGCGGUUCCUCCCAGCUCCAGCCUCCCGCUGGCCUCCUCCACGGCCCUCUGCAUCUGAAGAUGCACCGCAUCCGGGUGCGAGUCUCCAAAUCGAGUCCAUCGGCACAGUGGGUUGUAAGCUCCCUGAAGGCUGAGACUAACCCUGCUCUGCUCACCACACUAUGCCCAGCUCAGCCAGCCCACAAGAGGAACCCAAGAAAUAUUUGCUGAACCCAUUAUUGUAUGGAUUAAUAUUGUAAUGUAAUAAAAUAAUGGAUUCCAC